UUCCUUGUGGCGUUCAAUUGUUCUCGCGAGAUUUCGGGCCCACUAUUAGCUGGGCCGCGGGGUGGGUCUUCCUUUCCUUCCGCGAGGUUGUGGAGCUGUGUUGGCAUUUGUUCAGAGAAACUACAUCACGUUUACCGAAUUGUCAAAACUCUGAAGCAAAUAAGUGACGAAUAAGACAAUUUGGAGAAGGACUUGGGAGAAUAUGUAACAGGAAUGAAUUUUUUUAACUCUAUAAUGGCAUCUAAUUCAGCUGUGGAAAUUGAAAAUGAAAGUGAUAACUCUUCUUCUGGUAGCAGCUUAUUUAAAACUCAGUAUGUCCCUUACUCCCCUAAACAGGGGCAAAGAAACCCUACUAGAAAGUUUGUUCAUUCACCUGAAGGUGUUCAGGCAAGGGAUUCAUCUAGUGACUCAUCUUUCGAACCAAGACCAUUGACUUUAAAAGCUAUUUUUGAAAGAUUCAAAAAAAAGAAACGUAAAAAGAGGAAAUAUAAACCAACAGGAAGAUCAAGAGGAAGACCAAAAGGGAGAAAAAACACUAGACGUUCCCAAAUAAAUAAGAAACAAGUUCAAGAUAAAGGAUCUGGGUUCCCAUUUUUAGAAUCCGAGAGUGCAAGAAAACCAUUACCUUGGAGAAAAAUUUUAACCUUUGAGCAAGCAGUGGCAAGAGGAUUUUUCAACUACCUUGAAAAACUGAAGUAUGAAUACUACCUCAAGGAAUCCUUGAAACAAAUGAAUGUUGGUGAAGAUUUAGAAAAAGAAGAUUUUGACAGUCGUAGAUACAAAUACUUGGAUGAUGAUGGUUCUCUCUCUCCUAUUGAAGAAUCAGAAACAGAGGAUGAGGCUGCAACAAAUCUUGAACAUGAUGAAUGUGAUAUCAAAUUGGUGGACAACUUUAAUGAUUUCAUAAUAAGUUCUGAAGUACCAAAGAUGAAGAAUGUGUAUUUAGAACAAGAAGAAUAUACUGAAGAAGCCGCUUUGUCUAAAAAGAGAGCAUCAAAGUCCAAAAAUACUGGACGGGACAGAAUGGCCUGAAAAGAGAUAGGAAUAUGAAUGUUAAGGCUUUUCACUUGAAUACAAUGUCUGGACUUUAAAGGUAUGUUUUAUGAUUUAGGUGAGUAUUUGGAUUAGAUUUGUUGAAAUGUACUUUGUCAGACAGCUUAAACCUCCACAGGUUUCAUUACUGAAAGACAUUUUGCUGGUUUACAAUUUCUGUUUGACAUUUCAGAAAAAUGAAUUUUAGGGUUCACACAUUUUAUAGUGGUAAAGUGCAAGCUUCACUUUACUAGCAGGAAAGGGUCUCCACAAACUAAGUUUAUAUUGAAAUUAUCAGAAUAUUAGAUAUUCUCAUUCCACACAUUUACAUAAUUUUAAACUAAUGCAUAAUCUAAAAUGAGGUGUAGGAUUUAGUAGUGUAAUGUUAGAAAUGACUAGAGGACAUAAGAUUUCCUAAAUCUGAAUGAUGCAAAUGGUAAUUAAAAAGCACACAAUUUGUUUAUCUUCCAGUGAUUUCAUAAAUGGAAGAACAGAAAUAUAGCCACAUUAAUAUUUUCCUCUGGUUUUUAGUACGUGAUAUCAAAUAAUGGUAUUUUUUAAGGUGAGGCAAAAAAUUAAACACUGCUGUAAUCUGGAAUAUCCUAGACAAAACAUACUGUGAUACUGGAGUUUGCCAAAAUCAGGACUUUUAGAUACGGAAAUCUUUUUCCUUCCUUUGGUUCUAUAGUAGCUACUUUGUACUUAUCUUUAGUAUUUGGUUUUUAUUCUCAUUAUAGACUCACUCCUUCCUGUAAGCAUUUUAAAAAUCCUUACUGUGUAAUUUAUGGAACGAUUUCUUUAAGUUUGUUGUAAAUGUUUGGCUUUUUGCACAAUUUUGAACUCGGUGACUGAGAGCAGAUCACUGUUCUAAUUGUUUUUCUUGUGGAAUCUUCCAAUUUAAAACUAAACAAUGCUUGAGGUCUAUCCCGAUGGGGCUUUUUCUCUGUAGACCUACAUCGUUGGAAACGCCUCAUAGAGUAUAUGUGUGGUUUCCUUUAUUCACAGAACUAUGUGUUAGAUCUGUGGGAAAGAACUACAAGACAUUUAACUGCUAAAACUCUGUACAAGACCUAAUAGUCAAAUUUUUUUAAAUCUUAGGUAUUGGCAUAUUCCCAACAAUCUGUACAAUUCUAGGGUGUGAUGGUUUAGGGGUGAAUAGGAUUUGAACUCAUUCACAUUUAGAGGGGUGUUGGAAACUGAGAACCAGGCAGAUCCAGGCUCAGGCCCUAACAGGGCCCUGGAGUAAAGACAUUGGAUCCCAAAGAUUACAGGUGGGGAGUUUUUGAAGUAAUGUCCAUAUUCAAGUGGAGAUUGAAGAAGCCCAACCGAAAGAACUCUGGCAAGUUAAUUCUCUUACCAUAUAAUGGUCGUUACCAAGGCUUUGAGAAUGCAGUUUCUCAUUUGCUGUGGACAUGACCGUAAAAAAAUUUUCCCACUAGGUUUUCUUUCUUUCUGCUACUUUGCUAGCAUUCAGCCUAUUGGGAACAUUUUAUCAACCCUGUUCUAUUUCCGUUGGCUAGAUCAGCACCACUGUCCAGUAUAAAUGUAACAGAAGCCAUAUGUGAUUUGGUAAUAGUCCUAUUAUUUCAAAUUCUCAUCUGACCAUACAUGGCUAGUAUAUUGAACAGUGCGUGCCUAGAUCUCUACUCUUGCAAAUAUCUUUUGCUAAAUCACUCUUGCUAAUAACCAUGCAACUUGUAAUACAAUAGAUUUAACAGACGGAGGCUGGCUUCAGUUUACAUGGUCAUCUCUGGAAAUGGAACCUUACUUUUAUGUUCUGUUAUGUAGGACUGACCGUGACAACUGUGGAUUGAACAAGGUCUUUUUAAAAGGGCUAUUUUGAAGAUUAUGAUUCUGACUUUGGAGGAACUACGGUGAUUGGAAGUGGAAGGAAUCAUAUGUAAAAUUCCUUAAAUAAAAAUUUAUUGACUUUAAAUAA
RNA transcript from Leptonychotes weddellii (Weddell seal), 2971 nucleotides. It is a transcript of the gene named TATA-box binding protein associated factor, RNA polymerase I subunit D, with no coding region annotated. NCBI's taxonomy places the organism in Eukaryota, Metazoa, Chordata, Mammalia, Carnivora, Phocidae. The record is from RefSeq and is a predicted model, not a curated record.